This 87-nucleotide microRNA precursor is filed under the name Bombyx mori (domestic silkworm). RNAcentral's name for it is "mir-2807 microRNA precursor family". It matches the Rfam family "mir-2807 microRNA precursor family". The record is from Rfam by way of RNAcentral. Lineage: Eukaryota; Metazoa; Arthropoda; Insecta; Lepidoptera; Bombycidae.
UAAAAGUUAAUGCUUUGUAUGGAAUUGUAACGUUUGCCUAAGUUUGCCGCUAGGAGCGCUGUUCCAACUGCAUUCAAAUUUGAGUUA